This 88-nucleotide non-coding RNA is filed under the name marine eukaryotic metagenome. RNAcentral describes it as "Glycine riboswitch". It matches the Rfam family "Glycine riboswitch aptamer", at positions 7 to 90 of the family's 94-position model. Rfam says of the family: This family represents the bacterial glycine riboswitch. Glycine riboswitches usually consist of two metabolite-binding aptamers domains with similar structures in tandem. The record is from RNAcentral.
CUAGCGGGAGAGACCGACAUUUAAUAUCCGUCGGCGCCGAAGGAGCAACCUACUCGGGAAUCUCUCAGGCAAAAGGACCGUUAGGUGA